CUCUUCCUCCUGCUACUGCCAUGUGAGAUACCUGCCCCUACUUUGCCUUCUUCCAUGAUUGGAAGCUUCCUGAGGCCACCCCAGAGUCAGAAGCCGCUAUGCUUCCUGGACAGCUUGCAGAACCGUGGAUGAAAUCAAGGCUUGCUGCUGACAAAAUAUAAAUCAUGCCAUAUGAUGCCAAUUCUAAAAUGCCAUUAAUUCUCCUCCAUUAACCCCUGCAGAGUAUUCACUGACUGCUGAAACUAGAGCAUCACUGAGAAGCAAGAGAUAGACUGACCUAACUAGAGGGAGAGCUGCCAUCCAGGAUGAUGCCACCAUCACAGGAGCAAUGUGAGGAAAGUGGAAUGAACUUGGACUUUGAAGGCAAACUAACCUGGAAUCAAAUACUGGCUCUGCUGUUUGCAAGUGUGAUCUUUGGGUAUGCUUCCUAAUCUGUGAGCUUCAACUUCCUCCUCUGUAAACCAAGAUCAAAGACAAACAGGGAAACCUACUUGUCUGGUGCCCAUCCCCUUGGCAGAACACUCCUCUGAAGGAUGACAGUUUGGCUGUGCCAGGGCAGAGCUGCCGACACCAAAUGAGCCUUCAUAGCAACUAUCUGAUGAGGAACUCACUGGCCUACCUUUCCUUGACAGCUGGGGCCUGCCAGCCUUGAAGCAUGACUCCACAACGCCCCUACCCAAGGCCAUGGAGGUUGCUGCUGAUGAGCAAGCUGUUUUAUAUUUAAUCCAGGUUUCUGCUUGGAGAGGAAGAAGGUAGAGGAGCCAGCGAAGGUUUGUCUGAAUGAUACUUGCAGAAAAAACACUGGUAACAGUCACAAAACUUUGAAAAUUAAAGUGCCAGCGAGGUGGCUUUUGGUGGCCAGAUGAAAGCUGUUAACCCCAGCUUUUACAAAUGCUGGGCUUUGAGUAAGAGGAGAGUGUCUUUCUGGAAAAGUUUGAGACCUCUUACUAUUGUAGCAGCAAAAGCAUCCACGGCUAGUGUUUUCCAAGCUCACUGCUACUUGUUGCAGUCUAGCAGUGUUGUGUCUCCUGAAAUUCCUACCUUUCUUGAUGGAUGUAAAAGAAGUACCAAUUUAUUAAGCUCCUAGUAUGUGCCAGAUGCUCCAUAUAUGUUACUUUUGAUCUUCAGAACCACUCAGCAACUUACUGCUUCUCCUCACUCCCAAUUACAUAGAUGAUGAAAUUGAAGCAGAGUAGUUUGUCUAGGAUUACAGAGCUAGGAGGGACCAGAGUUGGGAUUCUCCCUCAGUUCUAAUACACAGUAUGCUACAUUUCCUGUCGAGUAGUAACAAAGCUUCUAAGAAAUCUGAGUUUUCAUUUGUUAAAACUGAAUUUUUAAGAAAUGUAGACAGGAGCACUAAGUACUCUAUAGUUUAACGUUAAUAAUGGUACAAGUAUAUAACCAGUUUCUCAUGCACUGGCAUAACAUACUUCAGAGGGUACACCAGGGCUGGAUGAAUAUCUGAACCCAAAAAUAUCUGAGACAGGUCUCAGUUAACUUAGAAAGUUUAUUUUUCCAAUUUUGAGGACAUGCACCCAUGACACAGCCUCAGGUGGUCCUGACGACAUGUGCCCAAGGUAGUUAGGGCAAAGCUUUUUUUUAUACACUUUAGAGAGACAGGAGAUAUCAAUCAAUAUAUGUAAGAUGUACAUUGGUUAUGUCCAGAAAGACAGGACAACUAAAGCAGGGAGGGGGCUUCCAGGUCUUAUGUAGGUGAGAGAUAAAUGGUUGCAUUCCUUUGAGUUUCUGACUAGCUUUUCCAAAGGAGGCAAUCAAAUAUGCAUUUAUCUCAGUGAGCAGAGGGGUGACUUUGAAUAGAAUGGGAGGCAGGUUUGCCCUAAACAGUUCCCAGCUUGACUUUUCCGUUUAGCUUAGUGAUGUUGGGGCCCUGAGAUUUAUUUUCCUUUCACACUUCUUCCAUUUUCUUUUUAAAAAUCUUUUGAAGAAAGCAUUUUAGAAGAAAAUGAGUCUCUGCUCUCAUGGCUAGGAUAGUUUAUUCCUACAGGGGUAGGUCCCAAGUUAUUAGGAAAGCUCAUUUUUAGCAGAUUGAGAAGUCUCAUGUCCUGUGAAGAGACAAUAGUAGGAGGAAGGGAGAAAAACAACAAACAAGAGAACAAUCCUAGAAAAUCUAUAUAGACCACAUUACUUUGAAGUCCAUACAUCAGUAGGUAGGUAUGAAAGUGGCUUAUGUACCUAAAUAGUUUGCUUUUAUUUUCUUCUGAAGUUUAAGUUGUCUAGAUUCAGUUUGCAGGACUUUAGAAAGUACAGCUUAGUUUUCAAUUAUUUCGAAUUAGGAAAAAUGGGGUGAGGGGAAGGAAAAGAAGGAAAAAAAUUGAAAACAUUAUUUUGGAGACUUGUAGCCAGGAAAAAUUAGAAUUCAGUCUAAACUGUAGAAAAUAAUAAAAAUAGAAAAACAUUAGGCAAGACUAAAAUCUAACAACAGGUGCACUAUAGUUUUUGAAACGUAUUUUUUCUCUCUCCAGUUUCCCAUUUUCACUAAAAACAAAUCAUAGAAGAACCAAUUUGCUUUAUUAUACUUGGCCAGAUUAUUUGUAUGAAGUGAAGCAAGAAUAAUUAUUUUUCACAUAGGCUUUUAAAAUUAGCUUUGAUGGACUUCUUCCAUAGAAGGAAUCUCACAUAAGCCUUUUUUAAAGCCAAGCCCAGCCACAGAUUUGUACCAUCAAAUACCUAUGAGUUGGGUGAAUUAUUCUCCUUUUGAGUUCCAACAUAACUUAGGGCUCUUGGGCCUGUCAGAAAGUGACAUUCUUUACUUACCACAGGUCAGGAACACCGUUCAGGGACUGUGCAGACAAGGUAUGAGGCCAGUUUCCCCAAGGGGUUUUUAUUGGCUCUAUAAAUCAAGUUUAAUACCUUAAAGGAAAGCACACCAUUCCAGCCAAAGACUCAGUAAAAUAACCAGUUUCUCCAAUUGUGUCCUGUUACAAAUAAAAACAGAUUCUUAUUUCACUUAUGCAAAUAACUAUAUUGCCGUAAGUCACGAAUACUUACAAGUAGUUUCCAAAUUUUGGAGAAAUCAGGUAGAGAGAAACAAAUAAGCUCCAAAUUUCGUUCAUAGGAGUAUACUUGUUAAAAGCUGUCAAUAGCUCAAAAGAAAAGUUUCCUUGACUCUGAAAAACAAAACAAAGGAUCAGCAACGUUUUGUGCAAAAAGUCAAAAAGACUACUUCAGUCUUCUACUGGUUCAGUCCAUGCAGUUAAUUUCUGUUCUGCUUGAUAUUCGUGAACAUUUCAGCUCUCCGUAAGUCCUGAAAGUUUUUCCUCUUUUCUAAUGUCACAAUCUCCAAAGUUAUCAGAAAACUGCAUUCAAGAACACAUGUUAAGAGUUUUAUAGCUGAUUAUAAAACUACCUUCAAAAGAGGAACAAAACAAGACAACAAUUGUCCAUGGAUGACAAAAAAUUUUAGGGCAGCCAUAGUCAAAGACACAGUUGACAAGAAAAUUUGUUACCUCUGUGGCAUACAAUAAUUUAACAUAACAAUUAUAAUUACUGAUAACAUACACUAAGUCAUAUCAGAAUUUUAGGAGUUUCCUAUUAUUUUGGAACAGAUACCAAUAACACAUUUAUACAAAUACAGCCCAAAGAAAACCAAAUACCAUUUCAUAUUUGACAGUGCUUCCUGUAUAAUUUUUAUACCAAAUAAGACAAAUAUGUCAUUUUUGGACUUUAGGGAACAUAAUAUUUUAAAGGAUGAAUUAGGUCAGAUAAAGACAUAAUUUAUAAUUUGAUUUUGGAAACUUUGUCAAAUAUCAAAGGUUGAAAACACUUGAUAUCACAAAAUAAGAUCACAGGUCAUUGUAAAAAGUCAUUUAUUUAACCAAAGUGAUAACUCAAGGAUUUAAAAAAAAAAAAGGCAAAAACCUUCAUUAUUUUAGAGAGGAGACUUAAUUUCCCAAACAAGCCCUAAUAAAAACAGCAUGAAGCCAAUUAAAUUUGCUUUCCAAAAUUUUAUACACAAUCUAUAAAAUUUUAAUCCUGACUAUAAGAUAUAACUUCCAUAAACCUUUUAUAACUUUUAUAACCUUUAUUAAGGAGUCAGUCAAUGCUUCCAGAAAACCUUGUUAAUACUACACAGGGAACCAUAUGAUGGUCUUGCAUCAGUAUGCCUUUGACAUUAACGGUUAAUUUAUAGAGAAACAACUUAUUUUCUCUAUCAUAAUCAGUCCUUACAAUCUUAAACACACACCUCUUCCACAGAAUAGUCCCUGGGCCUUGAGGAGUUGAUUAGCUUUAAUUUCUGGCCUUGUGUUUUAGGAAUCCAGUUUAUUUUGAUUGACUUCUUCUACCAGACCUGAAGAUGAGGAUUUAAUUGCUGUCAGUGUUUAAGAUUUAGCAAGACUUGGUGUCCUUUUUAGACCCAGGAGUCAAAGCCCUGUAACUCAAUGUCACAAGUACUUUAAAAGCACAUACAGAAAGAUACACGGAUGUAAUACCUUUAAUUUUUUAAAAAUUUUCUUUUAACCUCAGUUUUUUUCUAAACAAACCAAAACUUAAUAAUAAUGGCAUAGGAAUUAUUUCAAUAAAAUGUAAAAUCUGUUAGUCAGUUACCAAAAAGCAAAACAAAAGACCUUCUGCAGUGCACAAAAUAUUAUGUUGGAAGAAAACAUUUCCUUUAGACCUGUAUUGUUAGCAUCAGGCCACAACAAACAGAACUCGAGGGAAAAAAAACUUACAUGAGCUGAAAAUGAGAUGAAAGUGAGCAUUACUAUUUUACACAUUUUAAAAGGGGAGAGAAAACCAAAAAUGGUGAGAUGCAAUAAAAGUUGAACUUUGGGUUAAAAAAAUUAAAAUGUCUUACAAUUUAUUAAGAGUAAAUCCAGCCAGGCAUGGUGGCUCAUGCCUGUAAUCCCAGCACUUUGGGAGGCUGAGGCAGGCAGAUCACGAGGUCAGGAGUUCAAGACCAGCCUGGCCAAUGUGGUGAAACCCCGUCUCUACUAAAAUUACAAAAAUUAGCCAGGCGUGGUGGCAGAUGCCUGUAAUCCCAGCUACUCGAGAGGCUGAGGCAGGAGAAUUGCUUAAACCUGGGAGGCGGAGGUUGUAGUGAGCCGAUAAUGCGCCACUGCACUCCAGCCUGAGUGACAGAGCAAGAAUCUGUCUCGGAAAAAUAAAGAAAAAGAGUAAAUCAAUCCCCUAAGAAACUUUUAUUGUUCUAAUCAAUUCUUUAAUGUGUAAGUGUGUUUUUUUACAUCAAACCCAAUUUCUAGAAAGACCAUUAUAAUUUCCCUUUAAUCAUAUACAACUUGAUCAUAUAAAAGUUUUGUUUUGUUUUGUUUUGUUUUGUUUUGAGACAGACUCUCACUCUGUCACCCAGGCUGGCAUGCAGUGGCGCAAUCUUGGCUCACUGCAACCUCCACCUCACGGGUUCAAGCAAUUCUCCCUGCCUCAACCUUCUGCGUAUCUGGGAUUAUAGGCACCUGACACCACACCUGGCUAAUUUUUUUGUAUUUUUUAGUAGAGAUGAGGUUUUGCCAUGUUGGCCAGGCUGGUCUUGAACUCCUGACCUCAGGUGAUCCACCUGCCUCGGCCUCCCAAAGUGCUGGGAUUACAGGUGUGAGCCACCGUGCCCGGCUGAAAGUUUUUUUUUUUAAAUAAAUCCUCUUAUUGUGACUUACACAGAUCAUUCAUGACAUGCUUGGACUUUCUGGUUUGUCCUGAACAUCCCUCUUUCUUAAACAACCCGUCAUCUUAUUCCAGAAUAAAUUUACCAUACAAGAUUCUUUCUCAUAUAAAAUUAUUUCUCUUUGAGCUUUCUUAGCAAAAAAUACCUUUUAUUUCUGCAACUUUCUUUACAUCUGCCUCAUUUCCUGGUUUCUUUUAUCUUGUUUUAUAUAUAACCUUAAAAUAAGCUUUGAAUUAGACAAAAAUUGUUCACCUUUUAAAAAGGACACAUUUUGUUUUUUAGAAAAAAUAUUUUCCUAUAAUAUAUUUUCAUUGUAAAAUACCCAAAUAAUGAAAUAUCCAUUAUUUAAUUUAAUGCAACCUUAGAUUCUAAAUUAUGACAAGUUUAUCUAUAAGUAUUUAUCCCAUUACAUUUACCUAAUUAUUUUAAUUGUUUACCUAGAUUAUUUAUGAAAACUAUGAUAGUCAUCAUUUAAAGUUAUGAAACUCACCAUUGCAAAAUUAUAAUUGACACAGUGAAAAAGAUAUGACCUAACUGACUCCCUCUUGCCGCUAACCUCCAAACUAUCCUUGUUCAUUCCUGGGCAUAGGCCGAACUGACUGUGGGAGGAACUUAGUUUGGUUUAGCUUUGAAACAAAGAUGAUAACAGUCAUUUCCCAAAAGAAACCUUAUUGCCUGUGGACUAGACUCCCUAAGGCCACAAGAUUAGAAGUUACAGUAAUUUUACUAAAUAAUUCAAGAUGUAGCUAUUUUCAUUAAACCAAUAUCAAUGUCUUAUUUAUUAAAAAUUAACACAAACAAAAAUCAUUCUGUUUUAGGCUGGGUUUAUAGUUUUGUAACCCUAUGCCAAACUUUGACACCUUACAGUAUUUGGCAGGGAUAAAUAUGAAAUGACUUGAUCCAUAAAUGCAAACGAAAAUGUAUGCUGGCAAUUCUUAAGACAUUUCUAAUAUUACUUUGCCAGUAAUUUUAAAGCUAGCUUAUUUAUUAAAGAUUUUACUUAAAUCACAUAAACUUGAAAAAGCAUUUGGCUAGUCUUUUCUUUUCUCUGAUAAAGCAUUGGAUUUAAGCACCUUUAUUUUUCUGCAAGCCAAUUAAUUACAGCUCUUUUAUAUGUUUUUAGUAGUGAAACGUGUACAUAACACAUAGAUACAUAGAUGUAUUAGGCAUACUGAUAGAAGUACAUCUUAUAGAUUCCUAAGACCUCCUUUUGUUUUCCCCUGUCUUAGACUUGCAAACUCAUGAUAACCUGUUUCAUUAACCUGGCAGUUGUCAGCUAAAUAGCCCUAAACCUGCAUAUUGAAGGAAACAACUCUUAGAUGAAAAAUCAGAUAGCAAAAUUUAUAUCUCAAGGUACAGACAGAAAAAGUCUAGUGGUGCUAGAGGGAGAAUAAAGAUGGAUGCCAAAUCAAACAUAAAAUUAUAGAACUCUAUCAUGGGAUUGUAUGAGGAGACCAAUUUUAUUCAUAUAGGGAUUAUUUCUUUUUUGCCUAGAUCUCUGAAAUCUGGGCAGAGCCCACACUGAAUCCUGGGUCUCCAAAAAGGGAGAAUUAUUAUGAGGCUAGACCAUGUAAUGCUUUUGCAGUGCACUUAAAACAAUUGUUUUUAAGCAAAGACAUUUCAAAGUGUCUAAAUUACACUCUUCCUUAAAAACUGAAGAGUAGCCUCUGUUGCAAUACCUAUUUUAGUCAAUAAAUCAGGUAACACAAUACAAACGCAAGCAGUUUAAGAGCUGAUACAAGUUGUCUGUUUACACUCUUGGAGUUCCAUAAUGAAAAAUGGGUUUCUCCCCAAUAGGGAGUCUGGUGCCUUCUCCAUUUUCCUUAAGGAACCCCAGGCUACUAUAAACUAUUUUAGGCCCCUCAUGCGGCAGAGGGUGCAAGAGAAAGGAGAGACAGCAGAAGUAAAUGAAGAAAACAGAAUUCAGCCAACUGAGAAGAAAAAAUCUUUUGCUCAAAAAAAGAGAGGAAGUCCUAGGAGAAAAACAAACAAACCAUGAUGUCCUUUUAAAUACAAACACCCACACACACACACACACACACAAAUUGCUGCUAUUGCAGAAGUACCAAGUAUCAAACCAGAAAGGGCUUGAUUUAGGAACCAAAAUCAGGCUGUUGUGGUGAAAAAAAAAAGAUGGCAGAACCCUUAGCUAUGGAACUGCAGUGUAGGGCAACAGCCAUUGCUCUUUCAGUUUGGCCUGGCAAGCAAAGAGGUGGCCUUGCUAUGUAAAGAAAGCCCCUUAAGUAGUCAAAAUCAAAAAUAUUUUUUUUUUCUUUUGCUGGCCAUUUUUCUCCCUCCACCACUCCACCUUUUUUCUUUUCUCUUUUCUUUUGUGAGAAUUUAGCCACUUCAGAGGCCUUAUUCCUCAUAAUUUGGAACUUUCCUUCAGAUUUGAUCAAGUCAGAUAGUUUGAUCAAACCCAAUGGGAAAAAGACUGAAACAACAACAAAAACAGAAACAAACAACAACAAAAAAGCAGUUAAGCCAAAAAACAAUGGCACAACUUGUAAAAUUACUGAGUGUUCUAAUGGUAAGGAGAAAUUAAGACCAGCUAGUUGUUCAUAUUAACUUUAGCCAAAACAAACCCCAAUUCAGUUACUUACUUAGGGAUGAGUCCCAAGCUGAAGACUGCUCUCUACCAUCCUAGAAGCAGGAAAAAUCUCAAAUUUGGCUUCUCUUGGAAGCAAGCUGAAACUCUAUAAAGGAGUUACCUAUCUUCAAUCUUCAUGGAAGCCGGAAAAAUUUGCCUUGUACUGGAAGCAAGUAAAACUCCAAAGGAAGUUGUACAACAAAAUAAACUUUAGAUCUCAACCACAUUUUGGGAAAUCAGGGAUUCUCUGGAGGGGGUGCUUGCAGGCUUCAGCAAAUUGUCCUAUUGGUUUGAGCCAUAAAGCUAGCUCGAGCUGGUACCAGGCACUGAUAGGAGAUUUGUCAAAUGUCAGUGGCACAAACACUCAGAAUCCCUUCAUGGUUGCCAAAAUGUGAACCCUGAAUAUCUGAGACAGGUGUCAGUUAAUUUAGAAAGUUUAUUUUGCCAAGGUUGAGGAUGGGUACCCAUGACACAGUCUCAGGAGGUCAUGACAACAUGUGCCCAAGGUGGUUGGGGCACAGCUUGUUUUUAUGCAUUUUAGGGAGACAUGAGACAUCAAUCAAUAUAUGUAAGAUGUACACUGGUUCUGUCUGGUGAGGUGGGACAAUUCAAGCAAGGAGGGGGCUUCCAGGUCACAUGUAGGUGAAAGACAAAUGAUGGCAUUCCUUUGAGUUUCUGAUUAGCCUUUCCAAAGGAGGCAAUCAGAUACCCAUUAUCUCAGUGAGCAGAGGGAUGACUUUGGAUGGAAUGGGAGGCAGGUUUGCCCUAAACAGUUCCCUGCUUGACUUUUCCCUUUAGCUUAGUGAUUUUGGGGCCCCAAGAUUCAUUUUCCUUUCACAAGUAACUGGCCACAAGAGAAACAGAAACAGGAUUAAGAAAGAGCCCUAACCCCUCCCAUCACAGGCUCCAUCAGCACAUUAGAGAGGAGUACACUAGGUGACUAUAUAUACAUAUUUGUGCCUGUGAUAAUUGCAAAUAAAAUGACACUAACCAUUGUAAAUGUUCAGUUCUUCUCAACUAUUCUUUUUGACCAUCUUGGAAACCCUUGCAAAUAUUUAAAGACAAGCAUUCGUGUAAUAGAGUUCAUCGUAAUACAUUGUGAACCCCAAAUAUCUGAGACGGGUCACAGUCAAUUUAGAAAGUUUAUUUUGCCAAGGUUAAGGACAUACCUGUGACACAGUCUCAGGAGGUCCUGAUGACUUGUGCCCAGGGUAGUUGGGGUACAGCUUGCUUUUAUUUGUUUUAGGGAGACAGGAGAUAUCAAUCAUUAUGUGUAAGAUGUACCUUGGUUCAGUCCAGUAAGGCACACAGGGUUGGGGGGAGCAGAGGGGGAUUCCUUUGAGUCUUUGACCAGCCUUUCACCGAAUACACAAUUUAGUCUGGCUCAGUGAAUCUGCAUUUUUAUAUAAACAAUAUGGCAGAGGAAGCAAUCAGAUAUGCAUUUGUCUCAGAUGAGCCUCAGAAGGAUGACUUUGAUUUCUGUCUAUCCCUUGUCCACAAGGAAAUUCCUUGUAGGCAAAUUGUGAGGGAGGUAUGUAGCCUUUUAUCUUUGUAGCUAUUUUAUUUAGGAAUAAAAUGAGAUGCAGGCAGGUUUGCCUGACAUCGUUUCCAGCUUGAUUUUUCCCUUGGCUUAGUGCUUUGGAGGUCUCGAGAUUUAUUAUCCUUUCACAACAUAUAGAGGAGUGUCUCAAACUUGAUACUACUGACAUUUAGAGUAGGACAAUUCUUGUUGUGGGAUGUCCUGUGUAUUGUAAGAUAAGUUUUUAGGUGAGUUGAAUUUUUUCCUUAAGGUACUUACUACAUUAAAGUUUAAGUACUAAAAUAAGUGGCAGGAGGUAUUGUAUGAGAAAAAAUACUUUCGGGAAGUACAAUAUAUUUUUUUUUUUUUUUUUGCUUUUAGGAACUGGUCUUAUCGAAGCAAAAUUGCUCAAUUAUUCAGUACAAUUGCCUUUCUACAUAGAUGUAAUUAUGGCUAACACUUUUUCACAUCUCAUCAUCCAUGAAUGAUAGGUUAUAGUGCGCCAAAGUUCAAUUAUUUGGUGUUAUCUAAUCUAGAAUGAACUUUACAUAUAUUUAUGUGAACUAAGGUGAAUGAAAUGGAAGAAAAAAGGCAGAGACUAAGAUCAGAUAUCUUUAAAAAGGUAAAUACAUGCCUUAGCAAUCUUACUCACAUUUUGACACUUGGCCUAUUUUAGCAAUAUUAAUCACCCAUGCACAGCCAUUGUCAAAUCAUUUAUACUAUAUGCGACAAGCAUGUUUUUCUGGCUUUGGGUUUUGUUUUUAAAUACAAAGCCCCAUAAUUUGGAACAAUAGCUGGAUAAUUUGGAGUGAAAAAACUGGAUAAGAUCUACCAUCUCCAAAUUUAGAAUGACAGAAAUUGGUUUCCAGUAAGAUAUGUCAACAAAAAGAGUCAAACUCUAUAAAAUAGUUGAAGACAUUUAUUUUGAGCCAAAUAUGAGUGGUCAUGGGCUGUGACACAACCCCAGGUGAUCCUGAGAACAUGUGCCCAAGGUGGUCGGGCUACAUAUAGUUUGGUAUCAUACAUUUUAGGUGGAUGUAAGACAUCAGUACAUGAAAGAUGGUGGUUCAGUCCAGAAACAUGCCCUGAAAAUGUGAGACAACUUGGGAAACAUGAGACAACUCGGGGUGAGGGGGCUGUAUUAGUCCAUUUUCACGCUGCUGAUAAACAUAUACCUGAGACUGGGAAGAAAAAGAGAUUUAAUUGAACUUACAGUUUCACAUGGCUAGGGAGGCCUCAGAAUCAUGGUGGGAGGUGAAAGGCACUUCUUACAUGGUGGCAGCCAAAGAAAACGAGGAGGAAGCAAAAGCAGAAACCCCUGAUAAACCCAUCACAUCUCAUGAGACUUAUUCACCAUCACGAGAAUAGCAUGGGAAAGACCAGCCAGCAUGAUUCAAUUACUUCCCCCUGGGUCCCUCCCAAAACAGGUGUGAAUUUUGGAAGAUACAAUUCAAGUUGAGAUUUGGGUGGGGACACAGCCAAAACAUGUCAUUCCACCCCUAGCCCCUCCAAAUCUCAUGUCCUCACAUUUCAAAACUAAUCAUGCCUUCCCAACAGUCCCCCAAAGUCUUAACUCAUUUCAGAAUUAACCCAAAAGUCCACAGUCCAAAGUCUCAUCUGAGACGAGGCAAGUCCCUUCUGCUUAUGAGCCUGUAAAACCGAAAGCAAGCUAGUUACUUCCUAGAUAAAAUGGGGGUACAGGUAUUGGGUAAAUACAGCCAUUCCAAAUGGGAGAAAUUAGCCAAAACAAAGGGGUUACAGGGCCCAUGCAAGUCCGAAAUCCAGUGGAGCAGUCAAAUUUUAAAGUUCCAAAAUGAUAUCCUUUGACUCCAGGUCUCACAUUCAGGUCAUGCUGAUGGAAGAGGUGGGUUCCCAUGGUCUUGGGCAGCUCUGCCCCGGUGGCUUUGCAGGGUACAGCCUCCCUCCCAGCUGUUUUCACAGGCUGGCAUUGAGUGUCUGCGGCUUUUCCAGGUGCAUGGUGCAAGCUGUCAGUGGAUCUACCAUCCUGGGAUCUGGAGGACGGUGGCCCUCUUCUCACAGCUCCACUAGGCAGUGCUCCAUUAGGGACUCUGUGUGGGGGCUCUAAACUCCACAUUUCCCUUCUGCUCUGCCCUAGCAGAGGUAUUCCAUGAAGCCCCUGCCUGUGCAGCAAACUUUUGCCUGGGCAUCCAGGCGUUUUCAUACAUCUGAAAUCUAGGUGGAGGUUACCAAACCUCAAUUCUUGAUUUCUGUGCACCUAUAGGCUCAACACCACAUGGAAGCUGCCAAGGCUUGGGGCUUCCACCCUCUGAAGCCACAGCCUGAGCUGUAUGUUGGCCCCUUUCAAUCAUGGCUGGAGUGACUGGGACACAGGGCACCAAGUCCCUGGGCUGCACACAGCACGGAGACCCUGGGCCUGGCCCACAAAACCACUUUUUUCUCCUGGGCCUCCAGGCCUAUGGUGGAAGGGGCUGCCAUGAAGGUCUCUGACAUGGCCUGGAGACAUUUUCCCCAUGGUCUCGGGGAUUAACAUUAGGCUCCUUGCUACUUAUGCAAAUUUCUGACACCAGCUUGAAUUUCUCCCCAGAAGAUGGUUUUUUCUUUUCUAUCACAUAGUCAACCUGCAAAUUUUCCAAACUUUUAUGAUCUGCUUCCCUUAUAAAACUUUAACAGUACCCAAGUCACUUAUUGAAUGCUUUGCUGCUUAGAAAUUUCUUCCACCAGGUAUCCUAAAUCAUCUUUCUCAAGUUCAAAGUUCCACAAAUCUCUAGGGCAGGGGCACGAUGCCACCAGUCUCUUUGCUAAAACGUAACAAGAGUCACUUUUACUCCAGUUCCCAACAAGUUUCUCAUCUCCAUCUGAGACCACCUCAGCAUGGACAUUAUUGUCAGCUGUCAUUAUUGUCAACAUGUCAGCAUGUUGGGCAAAGCCAUUCAACAAGUCUCUAGGAAGCUCCAAACUUUCCCACAUUUUCCUGUCUUCUUCUGAGCCCUCCAAACUGUUCCAACCUCUGCCUGUUACCCAGUUCCAAUGUUGAUUCUACCUUUUCAGGUAUCUUUUCAGCAACACACCACUCUACUGGUACCAAUUUACUGUAUUAGUCCAUCUUCACACUGCUGAUAAAAACAUAACUGAGACUGGAAAAAAAAAAGAGGUUUAACUGGACUUACAGUUCCACAUGGCUGGGAGGGCCUUAGAAUCACGGUGGGAGGUGAAAGGCACUUCUUACAGCGUGGUAGCAAGAGAAAAUGAGGAAGAAGCAAAAGGGGAAACCUCUGAUAAACCCAUCAGAUCUUGUGAGACUUAUUCACUAUCGUGAGAAUAGCACAGGAAAGACCAGCCCCCAUGAUUCAACUACCUCCUCGUGGGUCCCUCUCAAAACAGGUGGGAAUUCUGGGAGAUACAAUUCAAGUUGAGAUUUGGGUGGGGACGCAGCCAAACCGUAUCAGAGGGUCAGUUCCAGGUCCCCGCUAAUAUUUGAAUAGGUGGAUUCAAAGGUUUUCUGAAUGGCAAUUGGUUGAGUUUACCUAAGGACCUAGAAUCGAUAGAAGGGAGUGUCUGGGUUAACUAAGGAGUUGUGGAGACCAAGGUUCUUAUUAUACAGAUGAAGCCUCCAGGUAGCAGGCUUCAAAGAGAAUAGACUGUAAAUGUUUGUUGGGAGACUUAAAAAGGUGCCAGACUCCGUUAAUUCUCUUCUGGAUCAGGAAAAAGACCUGGAAAGGGAAGGGGAUUCUCUACAGGAUGUAGAUUUUCCCCACAAGAAACAGCUUUGCAGGGCCAUUUCAAAAUAUGUCAAAGAACUGUAUUUUAAGAUAAAAUACUUGAUUUCUUCAGGGCCUAUUAUCCAUCAUGUUGGUAUUUUAUUGUUCCAAAGAACCUGUUUAGUCAGUCUUCAGGUCUGUUUCAAUGUUAAUGCUGGUCAGCUGUGCCUGAAAUCCAAAGGGAGGAUGUUAUAAUUAGGCAUGUCUGAUCACCUAUUCCAUCAUGGCCUGAAGUAGUGUUUCAUAUUUCAGGUUUACUUUUUUUUAAUUUAUUUUUUAUUUUUUUUGAGACGGAGUCUCACUCUGUCACCCAGUCUGGAAUGCAGUGGCGUGAUUUUGGUUCAUUGCAACCUCCGCCUCCCUGUUCAAGUGAUUCUCCCACCUCAGCCUCCCAAGUAGCUGGGAUUACUGGUGCAUGCCACCACACCUGGCUAAUUUUUGUAUUUUAAGUAGAGACGGGGUUUCGCUGUGUUGGCCAGGCUGGUCUUGAACUCCUGACCCCAGGUGAUCUGCCUGCCUUGGCCUCCCAAAGUGGUGGGAUUACAGGUGUGAGUCACUGCGCCUGGCCUCAGGUUUACUUUAGAAUGUUCUUGGCCUAGAGGAGUGGUCCAUUCAGGUAGUUGGAGGGCUUAGAAUUUUAUUUUUGGUUUACGGAUAUUAGGGUAUUGCUCAUUAUUUUCCAUCUUUCUAGAUCACCUCCCAUAUCAGCUGCUCAAACCUCAUCUUCUACAUUCCUCUUUCUUUCUUCAACCUUCACUUAGAGCUCAGGUCCUGAGAUCAGACUUGAGUGAGAUUUCCUUUAAACUAAUGGGAGGAGGUAAGUAACUGUAACAUACAAAGAUGAAUAAUAAGUACAUGAAGAGGUGGGCACCAUGGCUCAUGCCUGUAAUCCCAGCACUUUGGGAGGCCAAGGCAGGCGGAUCACCUGAGGUCAGGAGUUUGAGAUCAACCUGGCCAAUAUGGCAAAACCCCAUCUCUACCAAAAAUACAAAAACUAGGGCCAGGCACAGUGGCUCACACAUGUAAUCCCAGCACUUUGGGAGGCCAAGGCUGGCAGAUUACCUGACGUCAGGAGUUCAAGACCACCCUGGCUAACGGUGAAACCCCGUCUCUACUGAAAAUACAAAAAUUAGCCCGGCGUGGUGGCAGGCGCCUGUAGUCCCAGCUACUCGGGAGGCUGAGGCAGGAGAAUUGCUUGAACCCAGGAGGUGGAGGUUGCAGUGAGCCAAGAUCAUGCCACUGCACUCCAGCCUGGGUGACAGAGCAAGACUCCCGUCUCAAAAAAAAAAAGAAAAAAGUACAUGAAGAGCCAUUAUACUAUGUUCUCUCAACUUUUGUGCUUUAUUGGAAAUGUCCAUAAUAAAAAGUUAUCUUUAAUUAUUCUCCAGUGAGAAGAGUGAGUCUACAGGACUCAGAUAUCACUCGCCCUGUCCCAACACAUUAUCAUGGCGUCUUUAUCUUCUAUAAGAAGACAAUGAGAUUUUUCUAGGAAAAAAAGCUCACCACUUCCCAUGUGUUCUGGAUCCCAACAAGUCAGGUCUCCUGAGACAUUUUGCUUCUGAAAAUAUCCUUUCUUGUUCCCACAUCUUCAAUCUUGCCCCCUUUUGAUGCCUACCCAUCUUCUUUAGCACACUCAAACUUCUCCAUGUUAAAAAAGUUCUUCACUUGAACUUCACAGACCUUUUGUAACUCUACAUGAAAACAAGCACAUUUAUAUUUUUCAAAAAUCCAUGUAAACUAAAAAUUGGCUUGGAAAAGGUCAAAAGAGUUUCCUUGCUUUUUUGACAAUGACAAUAGCACACCUCAGCAGCAUGUAUUACAAAUAGUACACGAUACAAAAAGAUUUGAACUCUUUCAACUAAUUUUAGUAAUAACAUCAGAAAAUGUUUAGGCUGGAAGGGAAACUUUAUCUCCUCCAGACUCUCAUUUGUACAGAUGAGAGGAAAGGACUCUCCAAUGAUUAUCACAACUUUGCUUAGAUUGACCCAGCAGGUAGCCCUCUGAGAUGGGGCCAAAGCCCCAGUCUUUUGGCUACUGCUCUUCCAUCAUAAAGCCCCCAGGGAUCUUCUUGAAUAAGAUCAAGUCAAAUUCCAAGUACAAUUCAAUUGUAGGGAGAAAAUUCCUUCUGUAUCUUUUGUUGUUUAACAUGUACACUGAAGUUAAGAAAUAACUAACUAUUUGUUUUCACCAAUUAAGAAAUUUAACAUUGGGAGGCCGAGGCGGGCGGAUCACGAGGUCAGGAGAUCGAGACCAUCCCGGCUAAAACGGUAAAACCCCGUCUCUACUAAAAAUACAAAAAAUUAGCCGGGCAUAGUGGCGGGC
Molecule: long non-coding RNA, 15809 nt
Filed under: Homo sapiens (human)
Lineage: Eukaryota; Metazoa; Chordata; Mammalia; Primates; Hominidae
Description: HSALNT0334697
Source: RNAcentral